Molecule: ribosomal RNA, 810 nt
Filed under: Cancellidium sp. MDS-2015
Lineage: Eukaryota; Fungi; Ascomycota; Sordariomycetes; Cancellidiaceae
Description: SSU rRNA
Rfam family: Eukaryotic small subunit ribosomal RNA
Source: RNAcentral
GAUGGUUCAUUCAAAUUUCUGCCCUAUCAACUUUCGACGGCUGGGUCUUGGCCAGCCAUGGUGACAACGGGUAACGGAGGGUUAGGGCUCGACCCCGGAGAAGGAGCCUGAGAGACGGCUACUACAUCCAAGGAAGGCAGCAGGCGCGCAAAUUACCCAAUCCCGACACGGGGAGGUAGUGACGAUAAAUACUGAUACAGGGCUCUUUUGGGUCUUGUAAUUGGAAUGAGUACAAUUUAAAUCCCUUAACGAGGAACAAUUGGAGGGCAAGUCUGGUGCCAGCAGCCGCGGUAAUUCCAGCUCCAAUAGCGUAUAUUAAAGUUGUUGCAGUUAAAAAGCUCGUAGUUGAACCUUGGGCCUGGCUGGCCGGUCCGCCUCACCGCGUGCACUGGUCCGGCCGGGCCUUUCCCUCUGGGGAGCCGCAUGCCCUUCACUGGGCGUGUCGGGGAACCAGGACUUUUACUUUGAAAAAAUUAGAGUGUUCAAAGCAGGCCUAUGCUCGAAUACAUUAGCAUGGAAUAAUAAAAUAGGACGUGCGGUUCUAUUUUGUUGGUUUCUAGGACCGCCGUAAUGAUUAAUAGGGACAGUCGGGGGCAUCAGUAUUCAAUUGUCAGAGGUGAAAUUCUUGGAUUUAUUGAAGACUAACUACUGCGAAAGCAUUUGCCAAGGAUGUUUUCAUUAAUCAGGAACGAAAGUUAGGGGAUCGAAGACGAUCAGAUACCGUCGUAGUCUUAACCAUAAACUAUGCCGACUAGGGAUCGGACGAUGUUAUUUUUUGACUCGUUCGGCACCUUACACGAAAGUACAAGU